GGAAUUUUGGACAAUGGGCGCAAGCCUGAUCCAGCAAUGCCGCGUGAGUGAAGAAGGCCUUCGGGUUGUAAAGCUCUUUUGUCAGGGAAGAAACGGUGGACUCUAAUACAGAUCACUAAUGACGGUACCUGAAGAAUAAGCACCGGCUAACUACGUGCCAGCAGCCGCGGUAAUACGUAGGGUGCAAGCGUUAAUCGGAAUUACUGGGCGUAAAGCGUGCGCAGGCGGUUUGGUAAGACAGAUGUGAAAUCCCCGGGCUCAACCUGGGAAUUGCAUUUGUGACUGCCCGGCUAGAGUGUGUCAGAGGGGGGUAGAAUUCCACGUGUAGCAGUGAAAUGCGUAGAGAUGUGGAGGAAUACCGAUGGCGAAGGCAGCCCCCUGGGAUAACACUGACGCUCAUGCACGAAAGCGUGGGGAGCAAACAGGAUUAGAUACCCUAG
Molecule: ribosomal RNA, 440 nt
Filed under: uncultured Herminiimonas sp.
Lineage: Bacteria; Pseudomonadati; Pseudomonadota; Betaproteobacteria; Burkholderiales; Oxalobacteraceae
Description: bacterial SSU rRNA
Rfam family: Bacterial small subunit ribosomal RNA
Source: RNAcentral